This 65-nucleotide transfer RNA is filed under the name Dipodomys ordii (Ord's kangaroo rat). It matches the Rfam family "tRNA". Rfam says of the family: Transfer RNA (tRNA) molecules are approximately 80 nucleotides in length. Their secondary structure includes four short double-helical elements and three loops (D, anti-codon, and T loops). The record is from Rfam by way of RNAcentral. Lineage: Eukaryota; Metazoa; Chordata; Mammalia; Rodentia; Heteromyidae.
GGUGGCUCAGUGGCAGAGUGCUUGCCUUGCAUGCAUGAGACCCUGGGUUCAAUUCCUCAGCACCA